ACGCCAAAACCUUCCCAACAUAAUUUUACAUUUUCUUGUGUACUACAGUAAUUUUUUUGCCACAUAGGAGUAACUUCUCUUGAAAUCAAUAACCUAUUACAACCGUCAAUAGUAAAUUGCAAUAACAUCCGCUAUGCUUGCAGAAUAUUCCCAACACAAAACUCUCUAUAAAUACGGGCCAGACCAGUUUGCCAAAACUACUAUAAAGCAAAACUCUCUCUAUAGUGAUUUUAGAAACAUGAGUGGAGGAAUGGAGUCAAUGAGUAGUAGACUCUCUCAAAAAAUAGGCAACGGAGGAGCCAACGGAGAGCAACACACGAGGGAGUGGUGUGGGCACUUUCAGAUGCCACUGCACUAUCCUAGGUACACUCAAGCUGACUAUGAGACCAUGCCGGAGUGGAAGCUUGAUUGUUUGCUUAGAGAGUAUGGGCUACCAAUCAUUGGAGAUGUUGACCAUAAGAGAAAGUUUGCCAUGGGAUCCUUCUUGUGGCCUCAUUAGUCUUCAUAUUUAGGGGUUGUGAUGACUUUUGAUGCUAUUAUAUUUGCAUGAUUUUGUUAUCUACCUUUAAAUUUUUAUCUUUUGUCUUCUGUGAUGUACAUUAUUACAUUAGACAAAGAUUGAAUUUCUGGGGAAGUAGCAAAAGCAUACAUGGAAAUAGCAAUCUUGAAUCCAUAAGUAAUACUGUGGCAAGUAAAAAUUAGGUAUGUAUAUAUAAAUUUUAAUUGCAGUAUUGUGUCCUUUGUUUUGGUCUGUACCAGCUAGUAGUCUAGUAUUCCCUAUUUUCGGGGUAAUGUCUUGGGGUUUGAUGUGGGAAUUUUGAUAUUACUUAUGUAUGGACUGUGAGAGUUUGAUAAUAGUGAUAUUUGAGGAUUUAUCCCAACUUUUCAGUUAGAACUAGCAUAUUCUAAUAGGUGUUUUGCAAUUGGAGUGGAACUUGUUUUUGUGCCUAUACCAAUGUAGAAUGAUAGGAAAGAGAAGGUUAUGAAGGGUGUCGCCUAAUUGUAUUAUUA
Molecule: long non-coding RNA, 1011 nt
Organism: Quercus robur (English oak)
Lineage: Eukaryota; Viridiplantae; Streptophyta; Magnoliopsida; Fagales; Fagaceae
Exons: 2
Source: RefSeq, a predicted model, not a curated record